UACGUAGGGGGCAAGCGUUGUCCGGAUUUAUUGGGCGUAAAGAGCGUGUAGGCGGCCAGGUAGGUCUGCUGUGAAAACUCGAGGCUUAACCUCGAGCUGUCGGCGGAAACCAUCUGGCUAGAGUCCGGAAGAGGAGAAUGGAAUUCCCGGUGUAGCGGUGAAAUGCGUAGAUAUCUGGAGGAACACCGGUGGCGAAGGCGGCAUCCUGGACCGACAUUGACGCUGAGGAGCGAAAGCUAGGGGAGCAAACGGG
Molecule: ribosomal RNA, 253 nt
Filed under: uncultured bacterium
Lineage: Bacteria
Description: partial 16S ribosomal RNA
Rfam family: Bacterial small subunit ribosomal RNA
Source: RNAcentral